Long non-coding RNA from Aquila chrysaetos chrysaetos, 4231 nucleotides. RefSeq lists it as uncharacterized. The transcript is spliced from 2 exons. NCBI's taxonomy places the organism in Eukaryota, Metazoa, Chordata, Aves, Accipitriformes, Accipitridae. The record is from RefSeq and is a predicted model, not a curated record.
ACUCCAGCAACUUUCUUCCCAGCGCCUCUUUGUGUGGCAGCAUCCUGGGAAACCUUUGUGAAGCCCUUUAGCCCUGUCAGGAGGUAAAGAUUUGUAAAGCACCAAAUCCUACCGUGCUCCUCUGCUUUAUCUCCCUCCGCCCUACGCCUGCCACGGGGCCAUUGGUACGAAGGUUGGCCCGCGAGCAAAACCUCCUUCCCCUUCCCAGCUCUUUGCCGGCAGCCCCCCGCGCAGACAUCCCCGGGCACGGCUGUGCCAGUGCCACCGCAGGGGAAAUCUCUGCGCUGGCAGAAGAUGCUUCAGCAGCGGCUUUCCUUGCCAAGCCCCUAAGCGUGCCAGUCACCGGUGGAAGCGAGGUUUUGAUUUGCUUUUCCUCGCUUUCUGCCAACUCAGCGUACGAGAUGGUGGUACUUUUUGUGAUAUUUUCGUAGUUAACAAACAUUGUGUGCGUGCUGUGAGAAAAAUCCUACGCUGCCGUGAGAUAGCGUGUAAUGUACGCCUGCCUUUACAGUACCUUUUAAAUGAUUUUUCUUUUUCUAAGAAGCCUGUGGGGCUGGAGCAUAACAGAGGAAGACGGGACAAGCUGAGAAGAAACAACAGAGAGGAAAAUCUUUGAGUUUGUGGCCAUCAGAGCAAAAAGGGACUGGAGGGAUUCUGAUUCUUUGACAGAUUUGACUUCAAAUGUGCAAGUGACAAAAACUGGUACCUCAGGAUAAUCCUGCCUCUCAUUAGUGGACUGCCUGAAAAUCAGCUGGUUUUGGGGAAGAGUACAAAAACCCCAUGGGAGAAGAGAUGCGUAAUAUUUCAGCUGUUCACUGUCUGCUUUGUUGCAGAAAGUAUCUUUAUGGUCACAUGUUUGAAAGGAUCAGGAGGUGUAAGCAGUGACCCCCCGAGUGCUUCAGACAGAGAACUGCAAAUUUGGGGGAUUUUCAGUGCUCUGUGGUCUGGUGACAUGCAGUGUGAUGCCAGAGUAUGUUACCUCUCUGUGGGAUAGCUAUCCCAAUUUAAAAACUACCUGCUAAAACUCUUGUUAAGACAUGGCAAUUUGUUUUAAACUGGCUGCUAGUUUUGUAAGAGCCAAGACUCUUGGGUAGGGUUGUGAAUAAGUGUGCAAGUGGCUGAACUUGAAGAGCUCACCUCAGCAGUUCCUAUCAGUAACUAACAAUCGACUGCACCGUUAUCGUGAUAUCUAUACUUUAUCCAAUGAAAGUGUCAUUUAAGUCAAUUUAAUUAGGUUUGAGUUAACGUCUCCUGGGAGCACAUUACAUCUUUUAAAGAUAUCGUUCCAGGCAAGCAGUAGCUUUAGACUGGCACUGCUUCAUUGGUUAAAUUCAUGUAUUUUCAGUUACUGUCAUAACCUUAAGGGCUGAGAGAUGGUUAAAAAAAAAGUGUAGUCUAGAGCAUAAUGACGUGAUAGCUUUUUAAUAAACUGGCAAAUACAUACGUACUAACAUCGCCCUACUAUCAUGCUGUAUCAGGGUCCUGCUGUCUCUUUCAGGGCAGGUGGAUUGGUGAGAAAUGGAACUUGUUUAUUAAAUUUUCAUCUACAAAGGAAAGCCAUCCUUUUCUGUUACAGAAAGUCUUAUAUGGAAUACUGUUAUAAUAAUUAGAAUAAGUUUAGUGUUUUACUGAUUGGAGUAAACAAGGUCUGAAUUCUUAAGUAGGUAAUUUUUAACUUCAGAUCAGAAGUUAUGAUACUGUGACACGCUAGAGGAGGUACUUGUCCCAGAACAUGGUGAGAGCAGCAGUUCAGCUCACUAGUUGCAGUGGUACUCACCAAUUCUGUGGUUAAACUCAUUUUCCUGAACCUCAUUUUUCAGGAAAUUACAGCCAGAUCAAACGGGCUCUUUAAAACAAAGUUAUUUUAAAAUGGAUUUGAUGGUUCCCUACUUACAGUGAUAGCCUUGGUAAAAUAGCAUAACAGGAGAACUGACUAAAUUUACUGAUGGUUUAGAGUCCAGUUCCAUGCUAUUUAUGUACUAGGGUAAGCUCUCUGUCUAGUGGACAGCUUCUGAGUACGUAACAGUAACCAUGUUAAUAUGUAAGUCUCCUUGUUGAACUUAGAGCUGUCUACCAGAACUCUAAUCUGAUGAUCUUCAGUUUACAAUAUAAAACAUCAUUGUUCAGUCACAUUUAAAAUAAAAAUGGAGUCCUAAGCGUAUGUUAGAGUUGCUCCUUUUAUUUUCAUGUUGUGCAUGAGAGGAGCUUAUUUAAGAGGAUGAUAACUUUAAACUGUUUUGACUUUGUUUUCUAAUAUUGUUGUAUAGCUUCUGGUUUUAAGCAUAGAACAAGAAAUACAGGAAGUGUUAAGUAUACAUAUGAGAGCUAGUUACAUAAAAGGAAGGUUGCCAGUAGUACUGCUGCAAUAUUCACAGUUAGAGAUAAAAUCAAUAUAUUUAAUAAUUUAACUCUUAAAUACCAUUGCAGAAAAGGAAGUUCAGUCUUUAUUUUCUAAAUGGUACCAAGACCUACUGUUGCUACAGCAAUGGAGAGGAAGGAAGCAAAAAGCAUUCUUUGUGUAUUUCUGUAGUUUACAGGGCAGUUUACAUCAAUUCAAAAUGUAAGAUGAAACAUGUCAUUCUCGAAGUAAGGCAUUUACUAUACUUCAUCACAUAAGUCUGAAGUUGUUUCACAAAUAACGUCACAAAUAUACAUUUACCAUAAUAUUUACCAUAUUUUCUCUCUUUAAUUGUCCUCUGACAAAAUCAGAGACUUUUUUCUUCCAAAUCAUUCUCCUAUCUCACUGCAAAUUUUAUCUUUAAAGCUUGCUAGCUGUCAUGGGCACGAGUUUUGUUUCAUCAAUAACAUCUUGAUGUAAAAUAUACUCUUUUAAAAGCUUCCUGUUGCUGUAUAAUCUAUAAAAAUAAUGGUGUGAACAUUAAGAUAGAGGAGCUGAUGGCAUUUUAAGAUCAGUGUCAAAGAUUCUAUCCCAGGUUAAGUGAUAGUAAUUAAAAAGACGGGAGACCUGGACACAAGUCUGCACAAAAGCCAGCGAUGGAGCUGAACCAGCACAGCAGCUAUUGGGAAUCAUUGGGCAAGGACAUCUAACCGAACGGUGCUAUGUAAACCACUAAACAGCAUUGGUUUUGACACAUGCAUGUUACCAUUUAAUAUGCAUAAUAAUCCUCAACAUUUAAAAUCUCCUGCUGCAGUGAAGACCGAGGUACUUUUCAGUGGCACAACUGCAUAGGAGGAAUAAUUGUGUAAUGCUAAUGAAAGUGAUGUAAUCAAUUUGCAGUCAUGCUUUCCUGUAAACUCGCUUUUAAUUUCACAUUUGGUAAAUACAGGCACUAUAUCCAAAAAGCAUGCGUCUCCUUCUGUAGACAUGACUGACAAGCCCUACGUGCAAUGUGCUUCCAAAACAAACAUGACUCAAUACCUUUGGGUCGGUAACUCAUACAAACGAUGAAGAAUGUUUUUUGGUAAUGUUCCUAAAGUCUAUCUUAGCAAAACUAGCAAUUCAUAUGUUGGAAAAACAUAAUGAAAAUUGGGUUUAUAAAAAUCUGUAUGCUGUGUGAUAAUUAUCCCUUCUUGUAGGAUACACACAGUUACUCAAACUAGUUGAUUACAUUGCUGUACUUAAGGAAUUUUGUUAUAUAAAAAAAUAAACACAUUUUUGAAAUCUACGGUUUUACCAGACCAGCGUGUCUUUCAGCGCGAGCACUGUGAUAGCUACUUGUGACAUAAAGCACACGAAAGAAAAACAAACUAUGUGAUUUGGGGAACUUGCAGAAACCCAUUUUUUGUUUAAUUUCACAGUGAUGGAAUCACAGAUGUGGGAAAGUUCACAGUUGGCACAGUGUGAAGUGAAUUUUCAUGUACGCCAGGCACGAGGUUCUCAGCAGAAGUUACCAGUUAAUAUCAUGGGGAGUCCCCAGAUCCUAAGUUGACCCCUGCAAGUAGUUACAAACCUCUCAGUUGGGAUCCUCUUACCUAUAGUUUGCUAGUUAACCAAGGAAAUAAUUCACUGUUUCUCUAUCUGUUUCACAAUGUCAGUUUACUUAAAAUAGAAACCGUUUCGUGCUGAGCUAUGGCACGAUGUAUUUGGCUUCUGAAAGGCUGAAAAGGCUGUUAGAAAAUAUCAAAGGGGUUAAUUAGGAAAGUGAACAGUCAGAGGAGUAACAAGCGCUUCCUCCAAACCCGUGCUCAAAGUGAUGUUUAUUAAAGGUGUGUACCUAUCAAGACUGCCAGAUGAAUGUUACUUGUUUGGAGUUAAAAAAUUAAAAUAAAA